UACAGAGGUCUCAAGCGUUGUUCGGAUUCAUUGGGCGUAAAGGGUGCGUAGGUGGCGCUGUAAGUCGGGUGUGAAAUUUCGGAGCUUAACUCCGAAACUGCAUUCGAUACUGCGGUGCUUGAGGACUGGAGAGGAGACUGGAAUUCAUGGUGUAGCAGUGAAAUGCGUAGAGAUCAUGAGGAAGACCAGUGGCGAAGGCGGGUCUCUGGACAGUUCCUGACACUGAGACACGAAGGCCAGGGGAGCAAACAGG
RNAcentral lists this ribosomal RNA (253 nucleotides) under uncultured bacterium. RNAcentral's name for it is "partial 16S ribosomal RNA". It matches the Rfam family "Bacterial small subunit ribosomal RNA", at positions 524 to 776 of the family's 1533-position model. The record is from RNAcentral.